GACGAACGCUGGCGGCGUGCUUAACACAUGCAAGUCGAACGGAAAGGCCCUGCUUUUGUGGGGUGCUCGAGUGGCGAACGGGUGAGUAACACGUGAGUAACCUGCCCUUGACUUUGGGAUAACUUCAGGAAACUGGGGCUAAUACCGGAUAGGAGCUCCUGCUGCAUGGUGGGGGUUGGAAAGUUUCGGCGGUUGGGGAUGGACUCGCGGCUUAUCAGCUUGUUGGUGGGGUAGUGGCUUACCAAGGCUUUGACGGGUAGCCGGCCUGAGAGGGUGACCGGCCACAUUGGGACUGAGAUACGGCCCAGACUCCUACGGGAGGCAGCAGUGGGGAAUAUUGCACAAUGGGCGGAAGCCUGAUGCAGCAACGCCGCGUGCGGGAUGACGGCCUUCGGGUUGUAAACCGCUUUCGCCUGUGACGAAGCGUGAGUGACGGUAAUGGGUAAAGAAGCACCGGCUAACUACGUGCCAGCAGCCGCGGUGAUACGUAGGGUGCGAGCGUUGUCCGGAUUUAUUGGGCGUAAAGGGCUCGUAGGUGGUUGAUCGCGUCGGAAGUGUAAUCUUGGGGCUUAACCCUGAGCGUGCUUUCGAUACGGGUUGACUUGAGGAAGGUAGGGGAGAAUGGAAUUCCUGGUGGAGCGGUGGAAUGCGCAGAUAUCAGGAGGAACACCAGUGGCGAAGGCGGUUCUCUGGGCCUUUCCUGACGCUGAGGAGCGAAAGCGUGGGGAGCGAACAGGCUUAGAUACCCUGGUAGUCCACGCUGUAAACGGUGGGUACUAGGUGUGGGGUCCAUUUCACGGGUUCCGUGCCGUAGCUAACGCUUUAAGUACCCCGCCUGGGGAGUACGGCCGCAAGGCUAAAACUCAAAGGAAUUGACGGGGCCCCGCACAAGCGGCGGAGCAUGCGGAUUAAUUCGAUGCAACGCGUAGAACCUUACCUGGGUUUGACAUGGAUCGGGAGCGCUCAGAGAUGGGUGUGCCUCUUUUGGGGUCGGUUCACAGGUGGUGCAUGGCUGUCGUCAGCUCGUGUCGUGAGAUGUUGGGUUAAGUCCCGCAACGAGCGCAACCCUUGUUCACUGUUGCCAGCACGUUAUGGUGGGGACUCAGUGGAGACCGCCGGGGUCAACUCGGAGGAAGGUGGGGAUGACGUCAAGUCAUCAUGCCCCUUAUGUCCAGGGCUUCACGCAUGCUACAAUGGCUGGUACAGAGAGUGGCGAGCCUGUGAGGGUGAGCGAAUCUCGGAAAGCCGGUCUCAGUUCGGAUUGGGGUCUGCAACUCGACCUCAUGAAGUCGGAGUCGCUAGUAAUCGCAGAUCAGCAACGCUGCGGUGAAUACGUUCCCGGGGCU
This 1346-nucleotide ribosomal RNA is filed under the name uncultured bacterium. RNAcentral's name for it is "bacterial SSU rRNA". It matches the Rfam family "Bacterial small subunit ribosomal RNA", at positions 28 to 1381 of the family's 1533-position model. The record is from RNAcentral.